CGGGAUGUAGCGCAGUUCGGUAGCGCAUCGGUUUUGGGAACCGGGGGCCGCAGGUUCGAAUCCUGCCAUCCCG
This 73-nucleotide transfer RNA is filed under the name Bracteacoccus aerius. RNAcentral's name for it is "tRNA-Pro". It matches the Rfam family "tRNA". From Rfam's summary of the family: Transfer RNA (tRNA) molecules are approximately 80 nucleotides in length. Their secondary structure includes four short double-helical elements and three loops (D, anti-codon, and T loops). The record is from RNAcentral. Lineage: Eukaryota; Viridiplantae; Chlorophyta; Chlorophyceae; Sphaeropleales; Bracteacoccaceae.